GAGAGCGCAGUGCAACCAAGAGUUGUAUGCUGCGUUUGGGAAGGAUGAAUAGCUCCCGAAAAGGAAUCUAUUGAUUCUCUCCCAAUUGGUUGGACCAUAGGUGCGGUGAUUUACUUCAA
Punica granatum (pomegranate) is the source of this 119-nucleotide non-coding RNA. The record is from Rfam. NCBI's taxonomy places the organism in Eukaryota, Viridiplantae, Streptophyta, Magnoliopsida, Myrtales, Lythraceae.